GAGAGGAUGCGAAAAAGUUGAACCGUGCCCUGCAGAUGUAGCGCCGGCCUAAACUAUCCGUGUCAAGCAGCCGGCGGUAAAUACCGUAGGAGCGCAAAGCGUCAUCCGGACUUAUUUGGGCGUUAAAAGAAGCUUCGUAAGGCGGAUUUGUCCGCGUCUGCCGUGAAAAGUUCUCGAGGCUCAACCUCCGGAUUCUGCGGUGGGUACGGGCAGACUAGAGUGAUGUAGGGGAGACUUGGAAUUCCUGGUGUAGCGGUGAAAUGCGCAGAUAUCAGGAGGAAACACCCGAUGGCGAAGGCAGGUCUCUGGGCAUUUACUGACGCUGAGGAGCGAAAGCAUGGGGAGCGAACAGGAUUAGAUACCCUGGUAGUCCAUGCCGUAAACGUUGGGCACUAGGUGUGGGGGACAUUCCACGUUUUCCGCGCCGUAGCUAACGCAUUAAGUGCCCCGCCUGGGGAGUACGGCCGCAAGGCUAAAACUCAAAGGAAUUGACGGGGGCCCGCACAAGCGGCGGAGCAUGCGGAUUAAUUCGAUGCAACGCGAAGAACCUUACCAAGGCUUGACAUGUGCCAGACCGCUUCAGAGAUGGAGUUUCCCUUCGGGGCUGGUUCACAGGUGGUGCAUGGUUGUCGUCAGCUCGUGUCGUGAGAUGUUGGGUUAAGUCCCGCAACGAGCGCAACCCUCGUUCCAUGUUGCCAGCACGUAGUGGUGGGGACUCAUGGGAGACUGCCGGGGUCAACUCGGAGGAAGGUGGGGAUGACGUCAAAUCAUCAUGCCCCUUAUGUCUUGGGCUUCACGCAUGCUACAAUGGCCGGUACAAUGGGUUGCGAUACUGUGAGGUGGAGCUAAUCCCUAAAAGCCGGUCUCAGUUCGGAUUGGGGUCUGCAACUCGACCCCAUGAAGUCGGAGUCGCUAGUAAUCGCAGAUCAGCAACGCUGCGGUGAAUACGUUCCCGGGCCUUGUACACACCGCCCGUCAAGUCACGAAAGUUGGUAACACCCGAAGCCGAUGGCCCUAACCACCUUGUGUGGGGGGGAGUCUUCGGAAAGGUUGAAGGG
Molecule: ribosomal RNA, 1058 nt
Filed under: Glutamicibacter arilaitensis
Lineage: Bacteria; Bacillati; Actinomycetota; Actinomycetes; Micrococcales; Micrococcaceae
Description: bacterial SSU rRNA
Rfam family: Bacterial small subunit ribosomal RNA
Source: RNAcentral